Molecule: ribosomal RNA, 233 nt
Filed under: uncultured Staphylococcus sp.
Lineage: Bacteria; Bacillati; Bacillota; Bacilli; Caryophanales; Staphylococcaceae
Description: partial 16S ribosomal RNA
Rfam family: Bacterial small subunit ribosomal RNA
Source: RNAcentral
UGAGUAACACGUGGAUAACCUACCUAUAAGACUGGGAUAACUUCGGGAAACCGGAGCUAAUACCGGAUAAUAUAUUGAACCGCAUGGUUCAAUAGUGAAAGACGGUUUUGCCGUCACUUAUAGAUGGAUCCGCGCCGCAUUAGCUAGUUGGUAAGGUAACGGCUUACCAAGGCAACGAUGCGUAGCCGACCUGAGAGGGUGAUCGGCCACACUGUAACUGAGACACGGUCCAG